GGAUGAACGCUAGACGGCAAGCUAAUACAUGCAAGUCGAGGGGCAGCAUGACUGUAGCAAUACAGUUGAUGGCGACCGGCAAACGGGUGCGGAACACGUACAGAACCUUCCUUCGAGCGGGGAAUAGCCCAGAGAAAUUGGAUUAAUACCCCAUAGUAUAUUGGAGUGGCAUCACUUUGAUAUUAAAGAUUUAUCACUUGAAGAUGGCUGUGCGGCUGAUUAGAUAGUUGGCGGGGUAACGGCCCACCAAGUCUGCGAUCAGUAACUGGUGUGAGAGCACGACCAGUCACACGGGCACUGAGACACGGGCCCGACUCCUACGGGAGGCAGCAGUAAGGAAUAUUGGUCAAUGGACGAAAGUCUGAACCAGCUAUGCCGCGUGGAGGAUGAAGGCCCUCUGGGUUGUAAACUUCUUUUAUAUGGGACGAAAAAGGGCCUUUCUAGGUCAACUGACGGUACCAUGUGAAUAAGCACCGGCUAACUCCGUG
Molecule: ribosomal RNA, 488 nt
Filed under: uncultured bacterium
Lineage: Bacteria
Description: bacterial SSU rRNA
Rfam family: Bacterial small subunit ribosomal RNA
Source: RNAcentral